This 226-nucleotide long non-coding RNA is filed under the name Elaeis guineensis (African oil palm). RNAcentral describes it as "long non-coding RNA (EGUI_LNC020336)". Lineage: Eukaryota; Viridiplantae; Streptophyta; Magnoliopsida; Arecales; Arecaceae. The record is from RNAcentral.
AUUUGAUCCAACGAUCAAGAGUUAAGAUCAAAUAAUAAUCCAAAUGAGUACUUCUCUUGCCAAGGAUAAUCAACCAACCAUCAACCUUUGUUUAGUAGAACAAAACUAUAUUUAUUAAAAAGCAUGCAUGCAUAUUUAUAUUCAAGCACUAGAUUAUCAAUUUUGGAGAGAUAUAAUCAAUGGCUCACAUACACCCAAAAUUAGAGUAGAUGAUUUUGAUGUCUCC